Molecule: ribosomal RNA, 608 nt
Filed under: uncultured Bacilli bacterium
Lineage: Bacteria; Bacillati; Bacillota; Bacilli
Description: bacterial SSU rRNA
Rfam family: Bacterial small subunit ribosomal RNA
Source: RNAcentral
GGCGGACGGGUGAGUAACACGUGGGUAACCUGCCUAAAAGACGGGGAUAACACUUGGAAACAGGUGCUAAUACCGUAUAUCUCUAAGGAUCGCAUGAUUCUUAGAUGAAAGAUGGUUCUGCUAUCGCUUUUAGAUGGACCCGCGGCGUAUUAACUAGUUGGUGGGGUAACGGCCUACCAAGGUGAUGAUACGUAGCCGAACUGAGAGGUUGAUCGGCCACAUUGGGACUGAGACACGGCCCAAACUCCUACGGGAGGCAGCAGUAGGGAAUCUUCCACUAUGGACGCAAGUCUGAUGGAACAACUCCGCUUGAGUUGUAGUAGGUCUUCGGAUCGUAAAACUCUGUUGUUAGAGAAGUACACGAGUGAGAGUAACUGUUCAUUCGAUGACGGUAUCUAACCAGCAAGUCACGGCUAACUACGUGCCAGCAGCCGCGGUAAUACGUAGGUGGCAAGCGUUGUCCGGAUUUAUUGGGCGUAAAGGGAACGCAGGCGGUCUUUUAAGUCUGAUGUGAAAGCCUUCGGCUUAACCGGAGUAGUGCAUUGGAAACUGGAAGACUUGAGUGCAGAAGAGGAGAGUGGAACUCCAUGUGUAGCGGUGAAAUGCGU